CGGACGGGUGAGUAAUGUCUGGGAAACUGCCCGAUGGAGGGGAAUAACUACUGGAAACGGUAGCUAAUACCGCAUAACGUCGCAAGACCAAGAGGGGACCUUCGGGCCUCUUGCCAUCGGAUGUGCCCAGAUGGGAUUAGCUAGUAGGUGGGGUAACGGCUCACCUAGGCGACGAUCCCUAGCUGGUCUGAGAGGAUGACCAGCCACACUGGAACUGAGACACGGUCCAG
This 230-nucleotide ribosomal RNA is filed under the name uncultured bacterium. Its description in RNAcentral is "partial 16S ribosomal RNA". It matches the Rfam family "Bacterial small subunit ribosomal RNA", at positions 99 to 334 of the family's 1533-position model. The record is from RNAcentral.